Molecule: ribosomal RNA, 254 nt
Filed under: uncultured bacterium
Lineage: Bacteria
Description: partial 16S ribosomal RNA
Rfam family: Bacterial small subunit ribosomal RNA
Source: RNAcentral
UACGUAGGGGGCUAGCGUUGUCCGGAUUUAUUGGGCGUAAAGAGCGUGUAGGCGGCCAGAUAGGUCUGCUGUGAAAACUCGAGGCUCAACCUCGAGAUGUCGGCGGAAACCAUUUGGCUAGAGUCCGGAAGAGGAAAGUGGAAUUCCUGGUGUAGCGGUGAAAUGCGCAGAUAUCAGGAAGAACACCCGUGGCGAAGGCGGCUUUCUGGGACGGUACUGACGCUGAGACGCGAAAGCGUGGGGAGCGAACAGGG